UUUUGGCUACGGGACGCAGCAGUGGGGAAUAUUGGGCAAUGGGCGCAAGCCUGACCCAGCAACGCCGCGUGAAGGAAGAAGGCCCUCGGGUUGUAAACUUCUUUUGUCAGGGACGAAGAAAGUGACGGUACCUGACGAAUAAGCCACGGCUAACUACGUGCCAGCAGCCGCGGUAAUACGUAGGUGGCAAGCGUUAUCCGGAUUUACUGGGUGUAAAGGGCGUGUAGGCGGGACUGCAAGGCAGAU
RNAcentral lists this ribosomal RNA (246 nucleotides) under uncultured bacterium. RNAcentral's name for it is "partial 16S ribosomal RNA". It matches the Rfam family "Bacterial small subunit ribosomal RNA", at positions 330 to 593 of the family's 1533-position model. The record is from RNAcentral.